RNAcentral lists this ribosomal RNA (301 nucleotides) under uncultured bacterium. RNAcentral's name for it is "partial 16S ribosomal RNA". It matches the Rfam family "Bacterial small subunit ribosomal RNA", at positions 509 to 807 of the family's 1533-position model. The record is from RNAcentral.
CGGUAGCCGCGGUAAUACGAAGGGUGCAAGCGUUACUCGGAAUUACUGGGCGUAAAGCGUGCGUAGGUGGUGGUUUAAGUCCGUUGUGAAAGCCCUGGGCUCAACCUGGGAAUUGCAGUGGAUACUGGGUCACUAGAGUGUGGUAGAGGAUAGUGGAAUUUCCGGUGUAGCAGUGAAAUGCGUAGAGAUCGGAAGGAACAUCUGUGGCGAAGGCGACUAUCUGGGCCAACACUGACACUGAGGCACGAAAGCGUGGGGAGCAAACAGGAUUAGAUACCCCCGUAGUCCCUGUCUCUUAUAC